UUGGAGGGCAAGUCUGGUGCCAGCAGCCGCGGUAAUUCCAGCUCCAAUAGCGUAUAUUAAAGUUGUUGCAGUUAAAAAGCUCGUAGUUGAAUUUCGGGAUCAGAGUGUCGGUCGUGCCUCGGUACGCACUGGUAUUAUUGGUUCCUACCUUCUGAAGAACCGCGAUGUCAUUAAUUUGGUGUCGUGGGGAAUCAGGACUGUUACUUUGAAAAAAUUAGAGUGUUUAAAGCAGGCUUACGCUUGAAUACAUUAGCAUGGAAUAAUGAAAUAGGACGUUUGAUUCUAUUUUGUUGGUUUCUAGGAUUGACGUAAUGAUUAAUAGGGAUAGUUGGGGGCAUUAGUAUUCAACUGUCAGAGGUGAAAUUCUUGGAUUUAUUGAAGACUAACUACUGCGAAAGCAUUUGCCAAGGAUGUUUUCAUUGAUCAUGAACGAAAGUUAGGGGAUCGAAGACGAUCAGAUACCGUCGUAGUCUUAACCAUAAACUAUGCCGACUAGGGAUCGGAUGAUGUUAAUUUUUUAAUGACUCAUUCGGCGCCUUACGGGAAACCAAAGUGUUUGGGUUC
RNAcentral lists this ribosomal RNA (564 nucleotides) under uncultured Glomeromycotina. Its description in RNAcentral is "SSU rRNA". It matches the Rfam family "Eukaryotic small subunit ribosomal RNA", at positions 548 to 1114 of the family's 1831-position model. The record is from RNAcentral. Lineage: Eukaryota; Fungi; Glomeromycota.